GUCUAUAGCCAUACUACCCUGAAUGGAUGGACUCAAUCUUAUCUGAUCUCAGAAACAAAGUGGGGGUCAGGAUAGUACUUAGAUGGGAGACCACCUGUGAAUACCUGGUGCUGUAAGCU
Molecule: ribosomal RNA, 119 nt
Organism: Otolemur garnettii (small-eared galago)
Lineage: Eukaryota; Metazoa; Chordata; Mammalia; Primates; Galagidae
Source: Ensembl